RNAcentral lists this ribosomal RNA (247 nucleotides) under uncultured bacterium. RNAcentral describes it as "partial 16S ribosomal RNA". It matches the Rfam family "Bacterial small subunit ribosomal RNA", at positions 86 to 334 of the family's 1533-position model. The record is from RNAcentral.
UGCUGGCGACCGGCGCACGGGUGAGUAACACGUAUCCAACCUGCCCUUUACUCGGGGAUAGCCUUUCGAAAGAAAGAUUAAUACCCGAUAGCAUAAUGAUUCCGCAUGGUUUCAUUAUUAAAGGAUUCCGGUAAAGGAUGGGGAUGCGUUCCAUUAGGUUGUUGGUGAGGUAACGGCUCACCAAGCCUUCGAUGGAUAGGGGUUCUGAGAGGAAGGUCCCCCACAUUGGAACUGAGACACGGUCCAA